UCCUGAUCGAGCGUCUCCAGGAGCGUA
RNAcentral lists this small RNA (27 nucleotides) under Bombyx mori (domestic silkworm). RNAcentral's name for it is "ovarian small RNA-27912". Lineage: Eukaryota; Metazoa; Arthropoda; Insecta; Lepidoptera; Bombycidae. The record is from RNAcentral.